ACAUGCAAGUCGAACGGUGAAGGCGGAGCUUGCUCUGCCGGAUCAGUGGCGAACGGGUGAGUAACACGUGGGCAACCUGCCCUUCACUCUGGGAUACCCGGAAACGGGGCUAAUACCGGAUACGACCCCUGCAGGCAUCUGCGGGGGUGGAAAGUUUUUCGGUGAAGGAUGGGCCCGCGGCCUAUCAGCUUGUUGGUGAGGUAGUGGCUCACCAAGGCGACGACGGGUAGCCGGCCUGAGAGGGCGACCGGCCACACUGGGACUGAGACACGGCCCAGACUCC
This 283-nucleotide ribosomal RNA is filed under the name unidentified marine bacterioplankton. Its description in RNAcentral is "partial 16S ribosomal RNA". It matches the Rfam family "Bacterial small subunit ribosomal RNA", at positions 53 to 339 of the family's 1533-position model. The record is from RNAcentral.